This 414-nucleotide ribosomal RNA is filed under the name uncultured microorganism. Its description in RNAcentral is "bacterial SSU rRNA". It matches the Rfam family "Archaeal small subunit ribosomal RNA", at positions 459 to 872 of the family's 1478-position model. The record is from RNAcentral.
CAGCCGCCGCGGUAAUACCGGCGGCCCGAGUGGUGGCCGCUAUUAUUGGGCCUAAAGCGUCCGUAGCCGGUCCGAUAAGUCUCUGGUGAAAGCCCACAGCUCAACUGUGGGAAUCGCUGGAGAUACUAUCGGACUUGAGGCCGGGAGAGGCUGGAGGUACUCCCAGGGUAGGGGUGAAAUCCUAUAAUCCUGGGAGGACCACCUGUGGCGAAGGCGUCCAGCUGGAACGGACCUGACGGUGAGGGACGAAAGCCAGGGGCGCGAACCGGAUUAGAUACCCGGGUAGUCCUGGCCGUAAACGAUGCGGACUUGGUGUUGGGACGGCUGUGGGCUGUCCCAGUGCCGAAGGGAAGCUGUUAAGUCCGCCGCCUGGGAAGUACGGCCGCAAGGCUGAAACUUAAAGGAAUUGGCGGG